Molecule: ribosomal RNA, 268 nt
Filed under: uncultured soil bacterium
Lineage: Bacteria
Description: partial 16S ribosomal RNA
Rfam family: Bacterial small subunit ribosomal RNA
Source: RNAcentral
AGAUUGAACGCUGGCGGCAGGCCUAACACAUGCAAGUCGAGCGGUAGAGAGGUGCUUGCACCUCUUGAGAGCGGCGGACGGGUGAGUAAUGCCUAGGAAUCUGCCUAGUGGUGGGGGAUAACGUUCGGAAACGGACGCUAAUACCGCAUACGUCCUACGGGAGAAAGCGGGGGACCUUCGGGCCUCGCGCCAUUAGAUGAGCCUAGGUCGGAUUAGCUAGUUGGUGAGGUAAUGGCUCACCAAGGCGACGAUCCGUAACUCGUCGUGA